This 490-nucleotide ribosomal RNA is filed under the name uncultured bacterium. Its description in RNAcentral is "partial 16S ribosomal RNA". It matches the Rfam family "Bacterial small subunit ribosomal RNA", at positions 30 to 507 of the family's 1533-position model. The record is from RNAcentral.
AUUGAACGCUGGCGGCAGGCCUAACACAUGCAAGUCGAACGGUAACAGGAAGAAGCUUGCUUCUUUGCUGACGAGUGGCGGACGGGUGAGUAAUGUCUGGGAAACUGCCUGAUGGAGGGGGAUAACUACUGGAAACGGUAGCUAAUACCGCAUAAUGUCGCAAGCCCAAAGAGGGGGACCUUCGGGCCUCUUGCCAUCGGAUGUGCCCAGAUGGGAUUAGCUAGUAGGUGGGGUAACGGCUCACCUAGGCGACGAUCCCUAGCUGGUAUGAGAGGAUGACACGACACAUUGGAACUGAGACACAGUCGAGACAGCUGCAGUAGGAAGCGUUGAGGAGUAGUGCGCAAUGGGCGCAAGCAGGAUGCAGCUAUCCCGCGUGUAUGAAGAAGGCCUUGGGAUUCUAAAUGUGUUGCUGGAGGGAUGGAGGAAGAUGUGAUAAUGGCUUCGCGGAUUGACGUUGCUCUGAGAUGAAGCCCCGGCUAACUCCGUG